RNAcentral lists this ribosomal RNA (782 nucleotides) under Umbilicaria crustulosa. Its description in RNAcentral is "eukaryotic LSU rRNA". It matches the Rfam family "Eukaryotic large subunit ribosomal RNA", at positions 142 to 942 of the family's 3401-position model. Lineage: Eukaryota; Fungi; Ascomycota; Lecanoromycetes; Umbilicariales; Umbilicariaceae. The record is from RNAcentral.
AGUGUAAUUUGUAGAGGAUGCUUCGGGUGCGGCGCCGGUCUAAGUCCCUUGGAACAGGACGUCAUAGAGGGUGAGAAUCCCGUAUGUGACCGGUGACCUAGCCCGUGUGAAGCUCCUUCGACGAGUCGAGUUGUUUGGGAAUGCAGCUCUAAAUGGGUGGUAAAUUUCAUCUAAAGCUAAAUACCGGCCGGAGACCGAUAGCGCACAAGUAGAGUGAUCGAAAGAUGAAAAGCACUUUGAAAAGAGAGUUAAAAAGUACGUGAAAUUGUUGAAAGGGAAGCGCUUGCGACCAGACUUGCUCACGGGUGAUCAGCCGUCCUUCUGGGCGGUGCACUCACCCGCGAUCAGGCCAGCAUCGGUCUGGGCGGCCGGAUAAAGGCCCCGGGAAUGUGUCUCCCCCCGGGGAGUGUUAUAGCCCGGGGUGCAAUGCGGCCAGCCUGGACCGAGGACCGCGCUCCGGCUAGGAUGCUGGCGUAAUGGUUGCGAGCGACCCGUCUUGAAACACGGACCAAGGAGUCUAACAUCUAUGCGAGUGUUUGGGUGUUAAACCCACGCGCGGAAUGAAAGUGAACGGAGGUGGGAACCCUCCAGGGUGCACCAUCGACCGAUCCUGAUGUCUUCGGAUGGAUUUGAGUAAGAGCAUAGCUGUUGGGACCCGAAAGAUGGUGAACUAUGCCUGAAUAGGGUGAAGCCAGAGGAAACUCUGGUGGAGGCUCGCAGCGGUUCUGACGUGCAAAUCGAUCGUCAAAUUUGGGUAUAGGGGCGAAAGACUAAUCGAACCA